Molecule: long non-coding RNA, 463 nt
Filed under: Brassica napus (rape)
Lineage: Eukaryota; Viridiplantae; Streptophyta; Magnoliopsida; Brassicales; Brassicaceae
Description: long non-coding RNA (BNAP_LNC019319)
Source: RNAcentral
GCGAAAAGAAUCAAAACUUUGUGUAUUAUAAAACGGGAGUAGAAACCUGAAAUAAAUGUACAAGACUCUCAAAGUACACCUUUACUAAUCAAAACAAGGACAUUUGUUACAAGCAUUGACAAUGAGAAUCAAACCCAAAAUAAGACAUAGCACAAGUUCUCUUGAAUGGCCGUUUUACAAAUCACAGAUCAUUGAAACGGCAACAUUCUGGGGUUGUUUUAAGUAACUUGACUGGACUUUAAUUACGCAUAAGAAGUCAUGCUACAGGACAAAAGAGGACCACAUCUGACACAAGUAUAGACAGUCGCAAAGUUAGCCUAAGAAUCAGUAAGAAGCUGAGAGAGAGAGAGUCCAUACCCAUACGUCAAUCAUUCAUUCAGGCGAUAGAUUGAUGAUAUGAAAUUAUGAAAAAUGAAGUGAGGAAGACUAUAUAAGAAUCUCCUUAGUCCUAAACGACAGCGUU